Molecule: ribosomal RNA, 515 nt
Filed under: uncultured bacterium
Lineage: Bacteria
Description: partial 16S ribosomal RNA
Rfam family: Bacterial small subunit ribosomal RNA
Source: RNAcentral
GAUGAACGCUGGCGGCGUGCCUAAUACAUGCGAGUCGAGCGAAUGGAUUAAGAGCUUGCUCUUAUGAAGUUAGCGGCGGACGGGUGAGUAACACGUGGGUAACCUGCCCAUAAGACUGGGAUAACUCCGGGAAACCGGGGCUAAUACCGGAUAACAUUUUGAACCGCAUGGUUCGAAAUUGAAAGGCGGCUUCGGCUGUCACUUAUGGAUGGACCCGCGUCGCAUUAGCUAGUUGGUGAGGUAACGGCUCACCAAGGCAACGAUGCGUAGCCGACCUGAGAGGGUGAUCGGCAACACUGGGGCUGAGACACGGCCCAGACUCCUACGGGAGGCAGCAGUAGGGAAUCUUCCGCAAUGGACGAAAGUCUGACGGAGCAACGCUGCGUGAGUGAUGAAGGCUUUCGGGUCGUAAAACUCUGUUGUUAGGGAAGAACAAGUGCUAGUUGAAUAAGCUGGCACCUUGACGGUACCUAACCAGAAAGCCACGGCUAACUACGUGCCAGCCGCCGCAGUAA